UAAUUUAAAGUCUAGCCUGCCCAAUGAUUAAUUUAAUGGCCGCGGUAUUUUGACCGUGCUAAGGUAGCAUAAUCAAUAGUUUUUUAAUUAAAAGCUGGAAUGAAGGGUUGGAUAAAAAAAUAACUGUCUUUAUUUAAUUUAAUUAGAAUUUUAUUUUUAAGUUAAAAAGCUUAAAUUUUAUUAAAAGACGAGAAGACCCUAUAGAGUUUUAUAAUUAUUUUUAUUAAUAUUUUAAGAAUUUAUUUUAUUAAUAAAAAUAAUUAUUUAAUUGGGGUGAUUGAAAAAUUUAAUUAACUUUUUUUAUAUUUAUACAUUUAUAAAUGACUAAUUGAUCCAUAUUUAAUGAUUAUAAGAUUAAAUUACCUUAGGGAUAACAGCGUUAUUUUUUUUGAGAGUUCAAAUCGAAAAAAAAGAUUGCGACCUCGAUGUUGGAUUAAAAUUAAUUUUUGGUGUAGAAGCUAAAAAAUUAGGUCUGUUCGACCUUUAAAAUUUUACAU
This 497-nucleotide ribosomal RNA is filed under the name Phratora tibialis. RNAcentral describes it as "partial 16S ribosomal RNA". The stretch from base 370 to 497 matches the Rfam family "Bacterial large subunit ribosomal RNA", at positions 2473 to 2601 of the family's 2925-position model. Lineage: Eukaryota; Metazoa; Arthropoda; Insecta; Coleoptera; Chrysomelidae. The record is from RNAcentral.